This 940-nucleotide long non-coding RNA is filed under the name Ananas comosus (pineapple). Its description in RNAcentral is "long non-coding RNA (ACOM_LNC030009)". Lineage: Eukaryota; Viridiplantae; Streptophyta; Magnoliopsida; Poales; Bromeliaceae. The record is from RNAcentral.
GAGAGAGAGAGAGAGAGAGAGAGAGAGCCCGUCUUUGGAUACUAUCGAUAACACCAAGAAUCUGAUGCUAUCAAAUUUUUCACCGUUAAAUUUAAUUUUUUAAUUAUUUUUAUCCGUUAGAUUAUACUAUUCAACCAAAUCGACAAUCCACAUCAUUAAAUAUGAUUUAGAGUAUUUGAAAUUUGUAGAAAAUAAAUUUUGUAAUUUUUCAAAAUCAUUAUAAAAUCCAUCAAACGUGUAUAAAAUAAAUGGUCAAAAUCGAAUGACGUUCUAAAAUUGGGUGAUUGGAUCUCUUAAUUUAAGAUCGGAGUUAUUAAUCUUUAUCUAGAUAGUAAAUAAAAUUUUCUAUCAAAAAAUCAACCGAUUCUGAUUUCUUUACACCUUUAAACAAACAAGUAUUCCAUACCGGCCGUUAAAAAUUAUCAAUUUUGAAAUCUUCUGAUCGUAUCAUAAAUGAUUUUAAAAAAUAUAAAAUUUAAUGUCUAAAAAUUUUAAAUACUCUAGAUAAUAUUUAACAGUAUACAUCAUCGAUUUGAAAACUCUAUCAUCGAAAACAACUUAUGAGUACGAAAGCGAUCGAACUCAUAAGAAUAUAGUAGUCUCUCUCUCUCUCUCUCUCUCUCUCUCUCUAUAUAUAUAUAUAUAUAGAGUUCGAAAACUCAGCUUGGUACUAUUGAUAGUAUAGUAGCAUAAUUCUAUACAUAGAAUUAGGCUGGAAUACUAUUAAUAGCACCAAGCUAUUUGUGUUAUUAGUUUUUUAAUCCUUGGAUUAAAAAAUGUGUUGUUAGGAUGAUAUGGGCCCUCUAGUGAGUGGUUGGUUGAAUAGUAUAAUCUAAGGGAUAAAAAUAAUUAAAGGGUUAAAUCUAACGGUGGAAAACUCGAUAGCUUAGUGCUAUCGAUAGUAUCCCAGCCGGACCCUCUCUCUCUAUAUAUGUAUAUA